RNAcentral lists this ribosomal RNA (737 nucleotides) under uncultured bacterium. RNAcentral's name for it is "bacterial SSU rRNA". It matches the Rfam family "Bacterial small subunit ribosomal RNA", at positions 28 to 776 of the family's 1533-position model. The record is from RNAcentral.
AGUGAACGCUGGCGGCGUGCCUAACACAUGCAAGUCGAACGAGAACGGGUUUAAGUUUACUUAAACUGUCAGCUAAGUGGCGCACGGGUGAGUAAUGUAUAGUUAACGCCCUCUAGAAAGGAAUAACAGUUAGAAAUGACUGCUAAUGCCUAUAUGCCUUUUUAACAUAAGUUAGUAAAGGGAAAUGCUUUUUGUGCUAGAGGAUGGGACUGUAUAGUAUCAGAUAGUUGGUGGGGUAAUGGCCUACCAAGUCAAUGACGCUUAACUGGUUUGAGAGGACGAUCAGUCACACUGGAACUGAGACCCGGUCCAGACUCCUACGGGAGGCAGCAGUGGGGAAUAUUGCACCAUGGAUGAAAGUCUGAUGCAGCAACGCCGCGUGGAGGAUGACACAUUUCGGUGCGUAAACUCCUUUUAUAUAGGAAGAUAAUGACGGUACUAUAUGAAUAAGCACCGGCUAACUCCGUGCCAGCAGCCGCGGUAAUACGGAGGGUGCAAGCGUUACUCGGAAUCACUGGGAGUAAAGAGCAUGUAGGCGGAUUGAUAAGUUUGAAGAGAAAUCCUAUAGCUUAACUAUAGAACUGCUUUGAAAACUGUUAAUCUAGAAUAUGGGAGAGGUAGAUGGAAUUUCUGGUGUAGGGGUAAAAUCCGUAGAGAUCAGAAGGAAUACCGAUUGCGAAGGCGAUAUACUGGAACAUUAUUGACGCUCAGAUGCGAAAGCGUGGGGAGCAAACAGG